CAUCCUUAUUCCGGACAGUCAUGUACCAAACUAAAGAUCCUAUUACCGUGGAUGAAGGGUAGAAAAGAUUUUGGGGGACAGCUAUCAGCACCUGUCAUACUCAUACAAUAUCCCUUUCCACUUCAUUCUAGUACAUUAGAGAUGGGAAGCACUUGCAGCUGGCAUUCCAAAUGUGGUUUAGGAACUGCCAAUUAAAUGAACUUAAAUGAGACUUGAUCCUGGAACUCAGAUGGGGAGAGGCAGCAGACAGGCGGUAUCCUACAGCCUAUGAUACAGGUGGGGAUCCAAACCACAUUAACUGAGUGGAUGGAGCCACGUGAACACCGGGAUGAGGGAACCGCUGCAGAAGAGCCUCCAGGAGCCUAUCCGGAUAAGCUGACUUACCCUGCAGGCCUCCACCUGGAACAGACUCUGAGGAUGGUGUUAUGGUGGCCGUGUUCUCACUCGUGAACCAAUUUCCUGCAUUGUUACUUCUGUCUGACCUGUCAUUUGCUAUCCUCUUGUGAGUCUGUGACCACUGAAAUCUGA
Hyaena hyaena (striped hyena) is the source of this 528-nucleotide long non-coding RNA. RefSeq lists it as uncharacterized. The record is from RefSeq and is a predicted model, not a curated record. The transcript is spliced from 2 exons. Lineage: Eukaryota; Metazoa; Chordata; Mammalia; Carnivora; Hyaenidae.